GCCAGACACCCCGGCACCCCCCGCCUCCUUCCUUCCCUUCCUUCCUUCCGCCCGCGCCGCCGCCUGGGUCACCGCCCCGGCGCCGGAACCGCCGCUUGCGUCAUCACCCUCAGCCUGCAGCCCGCUGCGCCUCGGGAACUGUGAACCCCAGCUUGUAUUGUUUCAACACACAUACCAAAGGAACUCGCUCACUGGACCUCCCUGGUGCCUAGCAGGGAAGAUCCUCAGAAAUGGCAGCGAGUUUCCUGUGAGCAUCUCAGGUGGUGUGGCCUUGUGAGUAAAGAAAAUAAAAACAAUCCAGACAGAUGGGGAAUUUACAAAGAGCAGUGCUAGCCCAAGAGAAGUGCAUAGAGUUACAGCAGAA
Molecule: long non-coding RNA, 364 nt
Organism: Onychostruthus taczanowskii (white-rumped snowfinch)
Lineage: Eukaryota; Metazoa; Chordata; Aves; Passeriformes; Passeridae
Exons: 3
Source: RefSeq, a predicted model, not a curated record